Molecule: ribosomal RNA, 633 nt
Filed under: Sphingomonas sp.
Lineage: Bacteria; Pseudomonadati; Pseudomonadota; Alphaproteobacteria; Sphingomonadales; Sphingomonadaceae
Description: bacterial SSU rRNA
Rfam family: Bacterial small subunit ribosomal RNA
Source: RNAcentral
AGACCUUCGGGUCUAGUGGCGCACGGGUGCGUAACGCGUGGGAAUCUGCCCUUGGGUUCGGAAUAACUCGCCGAAAGGCGUGCUAAUACCGGAUGAUGUCGUAAGACCAAAGAUUUAUCGCCCAGGGAUGAGCCCGCGUAAGAUUAGCUAGUUGGUGAGGUAAAGGCUCACCAAGGCGACGAUCUUUAGCUGGUCUGAGAGGAUGAUCAGCCACACUGGGACUGAGACACGGCCCAGACUCCUACGGGAGGCAGCAGUGGGGAAUAUUGGACAAUGGGCGAAAGCCUGAUCCAGCAAUGCCGCGUGAGUGAUGAAGGCCUUAGGGUUGUAAAGCUCUUUUACCCGGGAUGAUAAUGACAGUACCGGGAGAAUAAGCUCCGGCUAACUCCGUGCCAGCAGCCGCGGUAAUACGGAGGGAGCUAGCGUUGUUCGGAAUUACUGGGCGUAAAGCGCACGUAGGCGGCUUUGUAAGUCAGAGGUGAAAGCCUGGAGCUCAACUCCAGAACUGCCUUUGAGACUGCAUCGCUUGAAUCCAGGAGAGGUGAGUGGAAUUCCGAGUGUAGAGGUGAAAUUCGUAGAUAUUCGGAAGAACACCAGUGGCGAAGGCGGCUCACUGGACUGGUAUGACGCUGA